Molecule: long non-coding RNA, 1121 nt
Filed under: Nicotiana tabacum (common tobacco)
Lineage: Eukaryota; Viridiplantae; Streptophyta; Magnoliopsida; Solanales; Solanaceae
Description: long non-coding RNA (NTAB_LNC000352)
Source: RNAcentral
AAUAUCAAAGAAUGUUAUCUAAAUGAACAAAAGAAUUUUACCACUAUAUAUAACAAAUAAAUGAAAUUAUGUAUAAAACCAAUCUCAUACACCUUUUUCUCCCCUCUAAUUACACAUAAAUCAUAAAUCACACACAUCUUAAUUUUUUCUUUUUUCUUCCAAUAAUAAUUAUCAUAAUCCAGCAUUUCUCUGUGUAUUAUUAUUAGUAACAACAGAAGCAGAAAAGGGAGCAGGAGCAGCAAACCGAGAAGAGAAAUUACGAAAAAGCCCAUCAUCAUUUUCUACAGCUUCAUCUCCUUCAUCAAAGUUAAGAGCAUAACUAUCAGAAUCAUACUGAAAUUGCUGCCCCUUAGAUUUUUUGGAAUUACAAUAUUUCCCCAUUUUCCUAACAAAAUUCUUCCAUUUUGGUCCAGCUACAAGUUCUGAAUAUUCCUUUAAUUCCUUCAUCUUUGUCACCAUCCAUGAGUCUCUGUCUUCACCUUGUUGUAAUAGUGAAUUUGCUUCACCUUCUUUUGAUUGAAAACAGGGGAAUCUGAAACAACCACAAAAAAGUGAAGGUUCUUCUUGGUAAAAAUAGUUUUCUGUUCCUUCUUGGGCAUUUUCUCUGAUGGGUGAAUAAUUGUUGUUCAUCAUCUCCUGUUUAAUUUUCUUGAAAAUUUCAGCAAUAAGUUGAGCUUGGUGUCAGUGUUUUUGAGUUUUGGUUGGGUUUGGGGGGGGGGGGGGUUAUUGGUAGGUAUAUAUGUGUAUAUUGGUGUGUAUAUAUGUUUAAUUUUCUUGAAAAUUCAGCAAAAAUUUGAUCUUGGUGAGUGUUUUUUGGGGUUUUGGGGUGGUGGGGUUUUAGGUUUGAGGGGUGGAGUGGGGGUGGGGGGAGAGGAAGAAAGAUUAGUGGUGGAAGAUGAAGGAAAAGGGUGGGUAUAUAUAUGUAUAUUGGUGUAUGUAUAUGUUUAAUUUUCUUGAAAAUUCAGCAAAACAAUUGAUCUUGGUGUGUGUUUUUGAGUUUUUGGGGCAGUGGGGUAUUAGGUAGGGGAGAGGAAGAAAGAUUAAUGGUGGAAGAAGGAGAAAGAUGGUGGGUAUAUAUAUUGUAUAUUGGUGUAUAUGUAAUAUGGGUGCGUGUGUUUUUU